RNAcentral lists this ribosomal RNA (253 nucleotides) under uncultured bacterium. RNAcentral's name for it is "partial 16S ribosomal RNA". It matches the Rfam family "Bacterial small subunit ribosomal RNA", at positions 524 to 776 of the family's 1533-position model. The record is from RNAcentral.
CACGUAGGUCCCGAGCGUUAUCCGGAUUUACUGGGCGUAAAGCGUGUUCAGGCGGUCCAGCAAGUCGGGCAUGAAAUCUCUCGGCUCAACCGGGAGGGGUUGUCCGAUACUGCUGGGCUUGAGGGCAGCAGAGGGUGGUGGAAUUCCGGGUGUAGUGGUGAAAUGCGUAGAUAUCCGGAGGAACACCAGUGGCGAAGGCGGCCACCUGGGCUGUACCUGACGCUCAAACACGAAAGCUAGGGGAGCGAACGGG